RNAcentral lists this transfer RNA (73 nucleotides) under Candidatus Woesearchaeota archaeon. RNAcentral's name for it is "tRNA-Gln". It matches the Rfam family "tRNA". Rfam says of the family: Transfer RNA (tRNA) molecules are approximately 80 nucleotides in length. Their secondary structure includes four short double-helical elements and three loops (D, anti-codon, and T loops). The record is from RNAcentral. Lineage: Archaea; Nanobdellati; Candidatus Woesearchaeota.
AGCCCCAUAGUGUAGUGGCCCAGCACACGAGGUUUUGGUCCUCGGGACCCAGGUUCGAAUCCUGGUGGGGCUA